GCUUCGAUGGCGUAAUGGUUAGCGUUGGGGAUUGUGGUUCCCUAGGUGCCGGUUCAAUUCCGGCUCGAGGCACCA
Molecule: transfer RNA, 75 nt
Filed under: Candidatus Heimdallarchaeota archaeon
Lineage: Archaea; Promethearchaeati; Candidatus Heimdallarchaeota
Description: tRNA-His
Rfam family: tRNA
About the family: Transfer RNA (tRNA) molecules are approximately 80 nucleotides in length. Their secondary structure includes four short double-helical elements and three loops (D, anti-codon, and T loops).
Source: RNAcentral